CGACUAGCACAUGCAUGAUCGAGCGAAUCUUUGCAGCGUAAAGCAAAGGUUAGCGGCAGACGGGUGAGUAAUAUUUGGGCAAUCUGCCCUCGAGUGGGGAACAACCGGCCGAAAGGCUGGCUAAUGUCCCAUAAGACCACAGGGAUGCAUAUCCAAGGGGUCAAAGCUCCGCAAGGGGCGCUUGAGGAGGAGCCCAAAUCCUAUCAUGGUAGUUGGUGAGGUAACGGCUCACCAAGCCUUUGACGGGUAGCCGGCCUGAAAGGGUGAUCGGCCACACUGGCACUGAGACACGGGCCAGACUCCUACGGGAGGCAGCAGUGGGGAAUUUUGCGCAAUGGGGGAAACCCUGACGCAGCAACGCCGCGUGGAGGAUGAAGUCCCUUGGGACGUACACUCCUUUCGACCGGGACGAAUAAUGACGGUACCGGUGGAAGAAGCCCCGGCUACCUUCGUG
Molecule: ribosomal RNA, 454 nt
Filed under: uncultured bacterium
Lineage: Bacteria
Description: bacterial SSU rRNA
Rfam family: Bacterial small subunit ribosomal RNA
Source: RNAcentral